GACGAACGCUGGCGGCGUGCUUAACGCAUGCAAGUCGAGCGGUAAGGCCCUUUCGGGGGUACACGAGCGGCGAACGGGUGAGUAACACGUGGGUGACCUGCCCUCAGCUCUGGGAUAAGCCUGGGAAACCGGGUCUAAUACUGGAUAUGACUCCAUGACGCAUGUUGUGGGGUGGAAAGCCUUGUGCGGCUGAGGAUGGGCCCGCGGCCUAUCAGCUUGUUGGUGGGGUGANGGCCUACCAAGGCGACGACGGGUAGCCGGCCUGAGAGGGCGACCGGCCACACUGGGACUGAGACACGGCCCCAGACUCCUACGGGAGGCAGCAGUGGGGAAUCUUGCGCAAUGGGCGAAAGCCUGACGCAGCGACG
Molecule: ribosomal RNA, 368 nt
Filed under: uncultured bacterium
Lineage: Bacteria
Description: bacterial SSU rRNA
Rfam family: Bacterial small subunit ribosomal RNA
Source: RNAcentral